Vicugna pacos (alpaca) is the source of this 980-nucleotide non-coding RNA. Lineage: Eukaryota; Metazoa; Chordata; Mammalia; Artiodactyla; Camelidae. The record is from RefSeq and is a predicted model, not a curated record.
GCGGCAGGAUUGGCGGCGGCCCACAGCGUGCGCCUGGCGCGGGGGGACCUGUGCGCUCUGGCCGAACGCCUGGAUAUCGUGGCUGGCUGCCGCCUGCUGCCCGACAUCCGCGGCGUGCCGGGAACCGAGCCGGAGCGAGAGCCGGGACCGCUGGCCUAGCCAUGACCCACUCUCCCUCCUGACUAUGUCCUGGGGGCCAAGCUCCAGAGACAAGAUGAGCCUCCUCCUGACUCUCCAGGCUGAGACCCCUGUGACACUCAAGGCCCAAAACAGACUUGCCCUGGAACUUGGGGCACAAGAUGACACCACUUUGCAGAUAAGGACCACGUGCAUUGUGUCUGUUCAUCAUGUUGGCCCUUCAGCGCUUAAAGGACUUGGAUUUCUGGGGCUCAGGGCCUGGGGUUAGCUCCUUUCUUCUCACCUGCUCCAUCUUCCCCUCCCAGCCCUAGUCCCUAAGUCCCAUUCACGUGCAUUCCCCUACCCCACUCUCUUAUUAUCCCAACCGGAAGCCGAGAUCUGAGCCCCCAGGAUGGGGAAGUGGGGAAGAGUGCUGUGUGGCUGACUCAGCAGACUCACUGGAUAGCCUCUCCCAACUGCAGAGGAGGCAGCCGCACUGCCUGUGUUCUGGAAGAAGCCUGGGAAUUCAUCCUGGGGCUGAGUGGAGGGGAAAUAAGAGGUUAUUUGGCCUGGGGUGGGGUGGGAGGAUUACAUUCUGCAAAUGGGAGGAUUGAGAGAAUGAAUGUACACUCUUUCUCUACCUGACCUAAAACAGAAAAAUGGAGAAAGAAACUUCCUAUUAGGGUUGGCUGUUGCAGUGCCUUGAGCCCGGUCGGUUUACACCCCCACCCCCAACUCCCUGUGGAAGUGACGGCUUCCUUCCAAUGGCAAACCCAGCAUCAGCCAUGGGUCUUAUCUUUGCCAAUCUGAGAGGUGAAAAAUGGUACUCGGUGUUGACUGAAAUAAAAUGCACAACCUAAAAA